AAAAAGGCAAACCCUGAGUUUCCGUGUCCAACUUUAACUGUCCGUCUUAUAUGAAAUUUUUUUAUAAUUCAUAUUUUCAUUGUUGUUAGAUGAUAAAACAUGAUUAAUAUUUUAUGCGUGACUUGUCUUUUUAAUUUUUUUCAUAAUUUUUUUAAAUAAGACGGACGGUCAAAUGUUGGGCACGGAAAACAGGGUUUAUCUUUUU
This is a microRNA precursor of Oryza sativa Indica Group (long-grained rice), 205 nucleotides long. It matches the Rfam family "MIR812 microRNA precursor family". The record is from Rfam. Lineage: Eukaryota; Viridiplantae; Streptophyta; Magnoliopsida; Poales; Poaceae.